GCCCUCAUCAUCUAGUGGCCUAGGAUAUCAGGUUCUCAUCCUGAAAACUCGGGUUCGAUUCCCGAUGAGGGCG
Molecule: transfer RNA, 73 nt
Filed under: Candidatus Nealsoniibacteriota bacterium
Lineage: Bacteria; Candidatus Nealsoniibacteriota
Description: tRNA-Glu
Rfam family: tRNA
About the family: Transfer RNA (tRNA) molecules are approximately 80 nucleotides in length. Their secondary structure includes four short double-helical elements and three loops (D, anti-codon, and T loops). Further hydrogen bonds mediate the characteristic L-shaped molecular structure. tRNAs have two regions of fundamental functional importance: the anti-codon, which is responsible for specific mRNA codon recognition, and the 3' end, to which the tRNAs corresponding amino acid is attached (by aminoacyl-tRNA synthetases). tRNAs cope with the degeneracy of the genetic code in two manners: having more than one tRNA (with a specific anti-codon) for a particular amino acid; and 'wobble' base-pairing, i.e. permitting non-standard base-pairing at the 3rd anti-codon position.
Source: RNAcentral